ACGCUCGACACCUACGGGAGGAGCAGUGGGGAAUAUUGCACAAUGGGGGAAACCCUGAUGCAGCGACGCCGCGUGGAGGAAGAAGGUCUUCGGAUUGUAAACUCCUGUUGUUGGGGAAAAAGAGGAUGGUACCCAACAAGGAAGUGACGGCUAACUACGUACCCAGCAGCCGCGGUAAUCUGAGCGGGCUGGCAAGGC
RNAcentral lists this ribosomal RNA (198 nucleotides) under uncultured bacterium. Its description in RNAcentral is "partial 16S ribosomal RNA". It matches the Rfam family "Bacterial small subunit ribosomal RNA", at positions 328 to 539 of the family's 1533-position model. The record is from RNAcentral.